Molecule: non-coding RNA, 800 nt
Organism: Pelobates cultripes (western spadefoot toad)
Lineage: Eukaryota; Metazoa; Chordata; Amphibia; Anura; Pelobatidae
Source: the annotation of a GenBank genome assembly
CUUUCAGUUGAAAUUGAUUUUUAGAUAGAUUUUAUCCAGUUAUACAAAUGACAUUUAGCCAAUAACAGGGUAAAAUGGCUUUGCUGUGCUUAGCAAAAAAGAUAUUGAUUGUCCAAAAAAAAAAAAAAAAAAAAGAAUACACUAGACUUUCCCACCAUCUAAGCCAUUGUGCAGUCAUGCUAAUGUUGAUAGCUGUGUAUUUCUCAUUUGGAUAGACCCAAAAAAUAACAUGUAUCUGCUAGUUUGCAAUGUAUUUCAUGACAGUAAUCCCUAAUUGAUUCUUAUGUAACUUAAAUAAGUUUGUCUAGUGAAUAACCACAAAGAAGCAGUCUAAGCACCACAGCUACUACAUGCAGAUCUCCACCAUUCCCUGGUUCUUGGUCAAACCAUUUCAAGACAUUUUAUUAAAACUGGGGGUGUCUUAAAUGAACUUGAGGCACCUACAGCCCAGCCCACACUUGUCUAAACUGAUAGUUUAGAUGUUCCACUUCCCCAUUAGCAAUAUAUGUUCCAUAUUCUAAUCUCAUUCUUUGGCAGAGUGCAUAUGGUGAUGGCAUGUAGUGGUUGAAUAACCCUGCAAAGUAAGUUAUUUAUUCACACUUCCUCUCUUAAUGUUAACAAUUUAAAUGUCAUCUUAAUGUUUUAUUUGUGAAAGAGUGCGUUGUGAUGAAUUUGAAGCGAAGUUUCAAAAUUCUAAUUGGAUUAACAUAGCUGAAACAUUGCAAAUCAGAUGUUUCCAGUUUGACAAAUUUGUCAGCUCAUCACAACCCACUUUUUAGCCAAUAAACCAAAUUCAGUGC